GUGUCAGCCGCCGCGGUAAUACGAACUGUGCGAACGUUAUUCGGAAUCACUGGGCUUACAGGGUGCGUAGGCGGCCUUCCAAGUCAGGUGUGAAAUCCCCCGGCUCAACCGGGGAAUGGCGCUUGAAACUGGUUGGCUUGAGUCAGCUAGAGGUACACGGAACUUCCGGUGGAGCGGUGAAAUGUGUUGAUAUCGGAAGGAACACCAGAGGCGAAAGCGGUGUACUGGAGCUGGUCUGACGCUGAGGCACGAAAGCCAGGGGAGCGAACGGGAUUAGAUACCCCCGUAGUCC
Molecule: ribosomal RNA, 292 nt
Filed under: uncultured bacterium
Lineage: Bacteria
Description: partial 16S ribosomal RNA
Rfam family: Bacterial small subunit ribosomal RNA
Source: RNAcentral